AGAGUUUGAUCCUGGCUCAGGAUGAACGCUGGCUACAGGCUUAACACAUGCAAGUCGAGGGGAACGACGGGAGCUUGCUUCCCGGGCGUCGACCGGCGCACGGGUGAGUAACGCGUAUCCAACCUGCCUCUGACUGAGGGAUAACCCGUCGAAAGUCGGCCUAAUACCUCAUGGCAUCGUCUGCGGGCAUCCAACGACGAUUAAAGAUUUCAUCGGUCAGGGAUGGGGAUGCGUCUGAUUAGCUAGUUGGCGGGGUAACGGCCCACCAAGGCGACGAUCAGUAGGGGUUCUGAGAGGAAGGUCCCCCACAUUGGAACUGAGACACGGUCCAAACUCCUACGGGAGGCAGCAGUGAGGAAUAUUGGUCAAUGGGCGAGAGCCUGAACCAGCCAAGUAGCGUGCAGGAUGACGGCCCUAUGGGUUGUAAACUGCUUUUAUGCGGGAUAAAGUGAGGGACGUGUCCUUCAUUGUAGGUACCGCAUGAAUAAGGACCGGCUAAUUCCGUG
Molecule: ribosomal RNA, 506 nt
Filed under: uncultured Prevotella sp.
Lineage: Bacteria; Pseudomonadati; Bacteroidota; Bacteroidia; Bacteroidales; Prevotellaceae
Description: bacterial SSU rRNA
Rfam family: Bacterial small subunit ribosomal RNA
Source: RNAcentral